This 292-nucleotide ribosomal RNA is filed under the name uncultured bacterium. Its description in RNAcentral is "partial 16S ribosomal RNA". It matches the Rfam family "Bacterial small subunit ribosomal RNA", at positions 505 to 796 of the family's 1533-position model. The record is from RNAcentral.
GUGCCAGCCGCCGCGGUAAUACAGAGGUCUCAAGCGUUGUUCGGAAUUACUGGGCGUAAAGGGUGCGUAGGCUGCGCAGAAAGUCAGGUGUGAAAUCCGGGAGCUCAACUUCCGAAUUGCACCCGAUACUCCUGUGCUAGAGGACUGGAGAGGAGCUUGGAAUUCUCGGUGUAGCAGUGAAAUGCGUAGAGAUCGAGAGGAACACUAGUGGCGAAGGCUGGGCUCUGGACAGUAUCUGACGCUGAGGCACGAAGGUCAGGGGAGCAAACGGGAUUAGAAACCCCCGUAGUCC